UACGUAGGGUGCGAGCGUUAAUCGGAAUUACUGGGCGUAAAGCGUGCGCAGGCGGUUAUGUAAGACAGAUGUGAAAUCCCCGGGCUCAACCUGGGAACUGCAUUUGUGACUGCAACGCUGGAGUGCGGCAGAGGGGGAUGGAAUUCCGCGUGUAGCAGUGAAAUGCGUAGAGAUGUGGAGGAACACCGAUGGCGAAGGCAGCCCCCUGGGCCAAUACUGACGCUCAUGCACGAAAGCGUGGGGAGCAAACAGG
RNAcentral lists this ribosomal RNA (253 nucleotides) under uncultured bacterium. RNAcentral describes it as "partial 16S ribosomal RNA". It matches the Rfam family "Bacterial small subunit ribosomal RNA", at positions 524 to 776 of the family's 1533-position model. The record is from RNAcentral.